AGGACGAACGCUGGCGGCGUGCCUAAAACAUGCAAGUCGAACGGGGUCCAUCCUUCGGGAGAAGACCUAGUGGCGAACGGGUGAGUAACACGUGAGCAAUCUGCCUCAGAGUUCGGGAUAAGCCAGGGAAACUUGGUCUAAUACCGGAUGCCCUUGUCGAGUCUUAUGUCUUGACAAGGAAAGUUUUUCGCUUUGAGAGGAGCUCGCGUCCUAUCAGCUUGUUGGUGGGGUAAUGGCCUACCAAGGCUUCGACGGGUAGCUGGU
This 264-nucleotide ribosomal RNA is filed under the name uncultured bacterium. Its description in RNAcentral is "partial small subunit ribosomal RNA". It matches the Rfam family "Bacterial small subunit ribosomal RNA", at positions 26 to 291 of the family's 1533-position model. The record is from RNAcentral.